This 90-nucleotide small nucleolar RNA is filed under the name Theobroma cacao (cacao). The record is from RNAcentral. Lineage: Eukaryota; Viridiplantae; Streptophyta; Magnoliopsida; Malvales; Malvaceae.
AGGCCAAUGAGGAUUUCUUAUUUAAUAGUUGGAAUUACCGACUGAAUUUUAAUUUUUGAUGUCAACUUGACUGGCUGUCUGAGGCUUCGU